UUCCUAACAAUGAAAACCUCGUAAUAAGGUAGUUUUAUUGCAUCAAAUAGAUUCAGUGUGAGAUAAAAGUACAUUAACAUCAUACACUUAUUUUUAGUACAUGUAAAUUAAAUAUAUGACUCCCUUUUUAUAGAAGGAAAAAAAAAAUUACAUUAGAGAUUACAAGUUACAUCAAUGUAUAUAAUAAUAAUCUGGUGAAUAAUUCAUAUUGAUUUCCCACUAAAAAAAUGCACAUUAAUUUCAUAUUAUGUGAACAACAUAAGAAUGUAAUAAUUAGCUUUGAUGGCAAGUAAGUUUGAUUUGAUGGUAGCAAGCAACCAAGAAGAAGUGCAGAGAUGAAACAAACAAACAAACAUGUUCUUGUGACCCAUUUCUCAGUAAGCAGCAGCUCAGCUUUGGUUGCUAUGCACUCUCCAAAGUUGAAAUUCCGUCAACUUUGUUGUGGAACCGAG
Molecule: long non-coding RNA, 452 nt
Filed under: Medicago truncatula (barrel medic)
Lineage: Eukaryota; Viridiplantae; Streptophyta; Magnoliopsida; Fabales; Fabaceae
Description: long non-coding RNA (MTRU_LNC000587)
Source: RNAcentral